This 1511-nucleotide long non-coding RNA is filed under the name Anolis carolinensis (green anole). RNAcentral describes it as "lncRNA (ENSACAG00000041847.1)". Lineage: Eukaryota; Metazoa; Chordata; Lepidosauria; Squamata; Anolidae. The record is from RNAcentral.
AAUUAUAAUUAUAUUAAUUAUAAUUAAGGCCAAGAUCAAAAAAUCAGCUGAUGACCCAAAAUGUGCAAGGAAACCGAUGAAACCAUUGAUCAUAUCCUCAGCUGCUGUAAGAAAAUCGCACAGACAGACUACAAACAGAGGCACAACUAUGUGGCCCAAAUGAUUCAUUGGAACUUAUGCCUCAAGUACCACCUGCCAGCAGCAAAGAACUGGUGGGAUCACAAACCUGCAAAGGUUGUGGAAAAUGAACACACAAAGAUACUGUGGGACUUCCGAAUCCAGACUGACAAAGUUCUGGAACACAACACACCAGACAUCACAGUUGUGGAAAAGAACAAGGUUUGGAUCAUUGAUGUCGCCAUCCCAGGUGACAGUCGCAUAGAUGAAAAACAACAGGAAAAACUCAGCCGCUAUCAGGACCUCAAGAUUGAACUUCAAAGACUCUGGCAGAAACCAGUGCAGGUGGUCCUGAUAGCAGCUGAGUUUUUCCUGUUGUUUUUCGUCAAUGCGACUGUCACCUGGGAUGGCAACAUCAAUGAUCCAAACCUUUUUCUUUUCCACAACUGUGAUGUCUGGUGUGUUGUGUUCCAGAACUUUGUCAGUCUGGAUUCGGAAGUCCCACCGUAUCUUUGUGGGCUCAUUUUCCAAUACUUUUGCAGGUUUGUGAUCCCACCAGUUCUGUACUGCUGGGCGGUGGUACUUGAGGCAUAAGUUCCAAUGAAUCAUUUGGGCCACAUUAUUAUUAUUAUUAUUAUUAUUAUUAUUAUUAUUAUUAUUAUUAUUAUUAUUUGAAGCAGCAUAAGCAUAAAAUUACAUCUUCAUUAUAGUAGCUCCAAUAUAUUAUAAGCCUAUAUAACUAAUGCCUAACAUUCCUCAUCAAAGAAAAAAUGAGAAAAAAACAGCCCCCUUCUCUAUAUCAAAUAAAAAUAUGAAUAAAACAUAAUAAAAAGCUAAAAGUUAAUUUUCCACCUACAAACAUAACGACAUUUAUAUUAAAAAAAACAGUCAUCUUUUUCUCACUAUAGGAAAGCUAAAUAAUUACUCUACUUACUCAUGAACUCCCAUAAGCACUUUCAUAUUCUCUUUCUUUUUCACAAAGGUCAUAAGAUUCCCAAUGUUUUGUUAAACUUUCUAGAGACUUCUCUUUUAUCAGAGUAGAUAAUUUGUCCAUUUCUGCCAUUUCAACCAUUUUUAAUAUCCAGUUUUCUCUUGAGGGUAAAUCUGUAUUCUUUUCUUUUUGGGUGUAGAAUAUUCUUGCCAUUAAAUUUAGUAAUUUGAAAUAGAAUUUUUUGAUUUGCACAUUCUAUUUGGAAAUCCAAGUAAAAAUAGCAAUCCAAUUUUAUUUUUAAAAUCUCUUCUGUCAGGCUUUCAAUAAUUAUUAAUACUUUUAAAAGCUCACCACAUGUCUACCACAUAUGGUAAAAAGCACCUUGUUUUACUUCUACCAGCAGACAUUUUCUUAUAUAUAUAUAUAUAUAUAUAUAUAUAUAUAUAUAUAUAUAUUUGACAGG